RNAcentral lists this ribosomal RNA (250 nucleotides) under uncultured bacterium. RNAcentral's name for it is "partial 16S ribosomal RNA". It matches the Rfam family "Bacterial small subunit ribosomal RNA", at positions 86 to 339 of the family's 1533-position model. The record is from RNAcentral.
UUAUGAUUAGUGGCGCACGGGUGAGUAAUAUAUAGGUAAUGUACCUCUUAGUCUGGGAUAGCCACUGGAAACGAUGAUUAAUACUAGAUACUCCUUUUCAUUUCAAGAUGAAUCGGGAAAGUUUUUCGCUAAGAGAUCGGUCUAUAUCCCAUCAGCUUGUUGGUAGUGUAAGAGACUACCAAGGCUAUGACGGGUAGCGGGUUUGAGAGGAUGAUCCGCCACACUGGUACUGAGACACGGACCAGACUCC